GAUGAACGCUGGCGGCGUGCCUAAUACAUGCAAGUCGAGCGAACAGACGAGGAGCUUGCUCCUCUGACGUUAGCGGCGGACGGGUGAGUAACACGUGGAUAACCUACCUAUAAGACUGGGAUAACUUCGGGAAACCGGAGCUAAUACCGGAUAAUAUAUUGAACCGCAUGGUUCAAUAGUGAAAGACGGUUUUGCUGUCACUUAUAGAUGGAUCCGCGCCGCAUUAGCUAGUUGGUAAGGUAACGGCUUACCAAGGCAACGAUGCGUAGCCGACCUGAGAGGGUGAUCAGCCACGCUGGAACUGAGACACGGUCCAGACUCCUACGGGAGGCAGCAGUAGGAAAUCUUCCGCAAUGGGCGAAAGCCUGACGGAGCAACGCCGCGUGAGUGAUGAAGGUCUUCGGAUCGUAAAACUCUGUUAUUAGGGAAGAACAAAUGUGUAAGUAACUAUGCACGUCUUGACGGUACCUAAUCAGAAAGCCACGGCUAACUACGUG
Molecule: ribosomal RNA, 497 nt
Filed under: uncultured bacterium
Lineage: Bacteria
Description: partial 16S ribosomal RNA
Rfam family: Bacterial small subunit ribosomal RNA
Source: RNAcentral